This is an RNA transcript of Chenopodium quinoa (quinoa), 2143 nucleotides long. It is a transcript of the gene named serine/arginine-rich-splicing factor SR34-like, with no coding region annotated. Lineage: Eukaryota; Viridiplantae; Streptophyta; Magnoliopsida; Caryophyllales; Amaranthaceae. The record is from RefSeq and is a predicted model, not a curated record. The transcript has 14 exons.
GCCACGUGGAUAAACAAAAAGAUCAAACGUCUGGCGCACAAUAAAACCGUAGGUAAAAAGCACCGAAUCCAAUCUCCACCUUUAUAAAAACCCUAUUUUCUCUCUCCUCUCUUAACUGCUUUCCAGAGACUUCUAUAUUUCACGCUUUUGUCAAAUUCUAAUCUUGGUGAAGGGUUGAAGAAAAACAUGACGAGACGAAUUUACCGUACUAUUUACGUUGGUAAUCUCCCCGGUGAUAUUCGCGAGAAAGAAGUCGAGGAUAUCUUUUACAAGUAUGGCCCAAUCGUCGACAUUGAUCUGAAGAUUCCACCACGGCCUCCUGGUUAUGCAUUUGUUGAGUUUGAAGAUGAACGAGAUGCUGAAGAUGCUGUGUAUGGUCGGAAUGGUUAUGAUUUUGAUGGGCAUCGUUUGCGGGUGGAAUUUGCUCAUGGUGGUCGAGGAUCCCUAUCAUCUGACCGUCACAGCAGUUAUGGAGGCAGCAGUUAUAGAGGUGGAGCACCCAAGCACACUGACUAUAGAGUCAUGGUCACUGGACUGCCAUCAUCUGCUUCUUGGCAAGACCUUAAGGAUCACAUGCGACGAGCCGGGGAUGUUUGUUUUUCAGAUGUAUUCAAGGAUCGUCGUUAUGGUGGCAUGACUGGAGUUGUUGAAUAUGCAAGUUAUGAUGAUAUGAAGCGUGCUGUCAGGAAGCUGGAUGAUUCUGAGUUUCGUAAUGCAUUCUCUCGUGCUUAUAUUCGAGUGAAAGAGUACUCUAGGAGUCUGAGUCCAGAUGAUAGGUCGAGAAGUAGAAGCUACAGCCGUGGCCGUAGUUAUAGCCGAAGCAGAAGCCGAAGCCGCAGCUACAGCAUUUCUCCAAGAAGACGAAGUUCACGACGUUCUUAUUCCAGAUCUCUUUCAAGGUCUCCCUCGAGAUCCCCUUCUCAUUCUCGUUCUAGUUGGAGCGAUGGACUGUGGUGAGUAAAAAGGAGAUUUGGAUACAUGCAGCUUGUCUUCUUUGUUUCGUAGAUCCAGCUCUUUGCGGCAGUCUGGGGAUUGGACAUAGGGGCUUGGAUCUAUUUGCACAUCAAACCUUGCUCAUUUCCAUCCAGGCUGGCGUCGUUUUAUAUUUGUUGGAUGUGUUCACUAUUGGGAAUUAUGAUUGUUGGAUAAAUUAUAAAGGUAUUAUGCUUGGUGGAGGUUGUGGAUGUGAGCUGGCGGAAUCUUUGGUUCUAUAAGAAAGAACGGGAUUCUCAUGAGUGUUCUAGUGUCUUGGAACACAGAGCAUUUGUAGCCCAAUUGCAUAAGCAUGAGAGUUGGUAGGACUCGUGGUAAAGGAUAUUGGUAGAUACAAUGUUCUAUGCAAUUUAAGUGCGAAAUAUGGUUUUGGGCCUUCUUUGCUACUCUCAUUGGUGAACAUGAUAUUCCACACCGGUCUGACUGGAUGGUAAGGUUGGAAUUUCUUGCUGUAGUCCAAAAUGGCUCUCUGACUGGAUUGUAAGGUUGGAAUUUCUUGCUCUAGUCCAAAAUGGUUCUCUUUCCACUUCCCCUUACUGGUGUAAAUUUUUCUGUAUAGUUUUGAGUAACGGCAAACCAAGGUCCAAAAUCACCCUGUUGAAUUCUUGUUAAAAUCAUGACUAAUUGCUGAAGCUGUCAAAUUUAUGACAAAUUGCUGAAGCUGUCAAAUUCAUUUAGACUGACAUUUUACCAAUUCUCACUUUGCAGAUCUUUAUCAAGGUCCAAAUCUCCAGUUCGUCGUUCUGUUAGCAGAAGUGUCAGUCGAUCACGUUCACCAGCUGCAAGAUCUGAUAGGAGUCGUUCUGUUGAGUCUGAGGAGCGUUGCUGAAUCGAGAAGAGUGUAACGUUAAAGAGCUGUGCUGUAGCAUAUACUUGGGAGUAGAAUUGUUAGAUUAAGCUGAUAAUGUACACUCUUACUGUCUUACUAUAUUGGGACUAGGGUGCGAGAAGUUUACUCAUUAGAUCAGAUUUAGUGAAUUUCUCAUCAGGGUACCUGAACUUGCUGUUGCAGAUUUUUAGUUUUCUAUUAAGCAAUUGACUAAUUUGGUUGACUUUAGUUGGUCAAUAAAUGAUCUAAUAAUCGUGGUUGUAAGAUUCUUAUGUGCACUGUUGCUUUUAUAAAUGUUUGGUAAAAGCUUAAGCUAGUCAA